AUGGAGUGUAACCCAAAAACUAUUUUCUGGAACGUGAGUGGUCUUAACUCCGGUGCCAAACGUGCAGCCGUUCGCAGCGUGAUCUCCGCUGCACCGAGCAUUGUCUGUCUCCAAGAGACCAAACUUGCCCGUGUCUCGGACUCCAUUGUGUUGGACACGCUCGCCCCCUUUUCGAGGACUACUUCUUCCUUCCAGCAAAUGGCACCCAGGGCGGCAUCCUACUAG
This 225-nucleotide ribosomal RNA is filed under the name Triticum aestivum (bread wheat). RNAcentral's name for it is "partial small subunit ribosomal RNA". Lineage: Eukaryota; Viridiplantae; Streptophyta; Magnoliopsida; Poales; Poaceae. The record is from RNAcentral.